Molecule: ribosomal RNA, 433 nt
Filed under: uncultured bacterium
Lineage: Bacteria
Description: partial 16S ribosomal RNA
Rfam family: Bacterial small subunit ribosomal RNA
Source: RNAcentral
AACGAACGCUGGCGGCGUGCCUAACACAUGCAAGUCGAACGAGACCUUCGGGUUUGGUGGCGCACGGGUGCGUAACGCGUGGGGACCUACCCUUAUGUUCUGAAUAACUCCCCGAAAGGGGUGCUAAUAACGGGGAAUGUCAUCGGACCAAAGAUGUAUCGGCUUUGGAUGGGGCCGCGUAGGAUGAGGUAGUUGGUAGGGCAAACGCCUACUAAGGCGACGAUCCGGAGCUGGUCUGAGAGGAGGAACAGCGAGACUGGGACUGAGACACGGCCCAGACUCGUGCGGGAAGUAGGGGAUGUGAAUAUAUGACUAUGGGCGAAAGGCUGAACCAGCGAUGGCGCGUGGAUGAUGAAGGGCUUAGGGUUGGAAAGCGCUUUUGACCGAGCUGAUAAUGACGGUACCGGGUGAAUAAGCACCGGCUAACUCCGUG